Non-coding RNA from Ceratotherium simum simum (southern white rhinoceros), 135 nucleotides. The record is from RefSeq and is a predicted model, not a curated record. Lineage: Eukaryota; Metazoa; Chordata; Mammalia; Perissodactyla; Rhinocerotidae.
AAAAAAAAGUUUAUGACUGAGCCAGCCCUGAUGGCCUAUUGGUUAAAGCUUGGCAUGCUCCUUUUCAGUGGCCCGGGUUCGGUUCCCCAGCAUGGAACCACGCCACUCAUCUGUCAGUAGCCAUGCUGUGGAGGC